RNAcentral lists this ribosomal RNA (254 nucleotides) under uncultured bacterium. RNAcentral describes it as "partial 16S ribosomal RNA". It matches the Rfam family "Bacterial small subunit ribosomal RNA", at positions 524 to 776 of the family's 1533-position model. The record is from RNAcentral.
UACGUAGGGUGCGAGCGUUGUCCGGAAUUAUUGGGCGUAAAGAGCUCGUAGGCGGUUUGUCACGUCGUUCGUGAAAACCUGCAGCUUAACUGUGGGCGUGCGGUCGAUACGGGCAUCACUGGAGUUCGGCAGGGGAGACUGGAAUUCCUGGUGUAGCGGUGAAAUGCGCAGAUAUCAGGAGGAACACCGGUGGCGAAGGCGGGUCUCUGGGCCGAUACUGACGCUCAUGCACGAAAGCGUGGGGAGCAAACAGG